UACCAUCCAGCGCCCCUGCGGAUCGGGCAAUUGCCGGCCCACAGCCCAGCUCACUUCUCCCUCUGCAGUCGGCUUCUCCCCCAGCCCUUCUGCAGGUGUGGGGUCCUGACCAGCUCCCUGCGUGCCUGGCUGUGUCUCAGGGAGGCUUCUGGAGCACCUGACCAUGUCCCAACAUGUGGGAAGUGGUGGCUCGGGGAAAGAGAGGGUCAGGAUGACUCUGAGGCUUUUGUCCUGAGUAGCUGCCGGAAGACAGGAGUUGCCAUCAACUGAGAUGCGUUUGGGCUGCUCCUCAGGCCUGCCUCCCGGCUGGCCAGUGCAGUUUGAAAAUGAGAUCUGAAUCAGUCCGUGCACUGCGAAUUGGCUGCUCUCUGUUAGAUCAAAUUGGUGAGGCAAUGUUGACAUAUGGCAUCAGAAAGCAGGACCUGGAGCGAUCUCACCUUCCCGGAGUGGUGCCCCCUGGAAACGGGUUCUGUACAACAGGCGUCCCUUGUGGGGGCUCACCGCUUCUGUGGACCGCCGGCUCCUCCCCUCAUGAGUCCUCUCAGGUUCUGACCUCCCUCCCUUUGGUGAAGGUCUUUGCCUUUCUUUGGGGUUCUGGGGCAACAGCCCAACCUGGGGUCGAUCAACCAGGAGACAGUUGUCUUCAAGUCGGCUCAUGGCUUUGCUGUCUGGAAAGGUUUAUUCCCAGUCUGGUUUCUGGCAAACUUUCAGACCAUAAAACUGAACUGGAUAAGAAAAUACAGAACUCUAAUGGAGAAACUGAUGGCUUCAUAAAACUGCUAACAAAAGAUCUAGAACAAAUAUUAAUUACAUGGGACGACCUGAACUGAGGAGGAUGCUCAAAGGUUUUGUUUUUCCAGAUGUAAAAAAAUCUUUGUGAAUAAAGAUGAAAGGUUUACUUUUUCUCCCUACCCAAUCCCUCCAGAAUUCAGAAACUCUCAGUGAAUAUUCUCAUUUUCACUUGUGGAUAUAGAAUCUGGUCCCGUGAAUUGCCUUUGAAGUUUUCUUAUACACCUGUAGACUGGACCCACCCUGGCCUAAGGUGUUGCCUUUGGUCUUGCUGACAGUUCACAGUGCCCUCUUUGGAAAACUUGAACUGACUCCACACGGGACGGUCACUGGCAGAUCAGUGUCUGUUGGUACACAACCUUCUGCUGACCCCUUGUCGUCUUAUGCUAGUAUGACCAGCUACCGUAAGACUCUAAUGUCUUACGCUCAAGCCCAUCAUUAACAGGUUAAAGAAGCUUUCCUGGAUCCCAAUUUAAAGGAUCCUGUUGGUCAGUCUAGAAGCUGGUGACUGGGUAUUCUGGAAGCAUCAUCAGAGGAAGACAGCCCUUGAGCCCCGUUGGAAAAGACCUUACCAAGUGCUCCUGACCACUGACGCUGUUUCAGAACUAGGAGGCAUUGAACCUUGGAGACACAUCUCCCAGCUAAAGAAGGCUCCACAUGACAUCUGGUCCUGCACGAAUGCUGGAGGCCUCCAAAUCUAAUUGACCAGGAAGAGAAGCAGCUGACGUGAGGCAGACAGCUUUCCCCAGAAGGCUGAACCAGGCCUGUACACGUUUUACUUGCUGUUGCUUCCUACCUUAUUUUCUCCCUGUCUUUCUUGGAAAGACAUGACUCUUACUUGCAUUUCUCAAUCUGUUACAAAGUGGGGAAAUCUUUCUGACUGUUGGGUUUAUCAUCAGAAGCCUCCUUCUGUACAUGAAUCUAGAGAAUCCUUUAGUGUAAUUAUUACAGUCUCUCUACCACUCC
This is a long non-coding RNA of Equus asinus (donkey), 1755 nucleotides long. Lineage: Eukaryota; Metazoa; Chordata; Mammalia; Perissodactyla; Equidae. The record is from Ensembl.